GAUUGUUUAUUUAAGGAGUUCUGCCUGGCAAAAAGAGACCUAAUGCAGUGAUUGGUAGAAUAAUCCUAUAGGCGGUCCUUAAUGCAUGUUGCUGAUGCCGGAAAGUUCUGGAAUUAAUCUUCUCGUCGUUAGCCAUUUUAAACUCGGUGAAACAAGAACAUGUGGAAAUGUGUCUGAUCAUCACAAUUGGAUCCUUGAUGUGCCAGUGGGGAUCUUAUUCAAGCACACCAAUCUUCAGCCCCCCAACUCCUUGCAUUUGAAUUCCU
Molecule: long non-coding RNA, 266 nt
Organism: Tachysurus fulvidraco (yellow catfish)
Lineage: Eukaryota; Metazoa; Chordata; Actinopteri; Siluriformes; Bagridae
Exons: 3
Source: RefSeq, a predicted model, not a curated record